This 253-nucleotide ribosomal RNA is filed under the name uncultured bacterium. RNAcentral describes it as "partial 16S ribosomal RNA". It matches the Rfam family "Bacterial small subunit ribosomal RNA", at positions 524 to 776 of the family's 1533-position model. The record is from RNAcentral.
UACGUAGGGUGCAAGCGUUGUCCGGAAUUAUUGGGCGUAAAGAGCUCGUAGGUGGUUUGUCGCGUUGUCCGUGAAAACUCACAGCUUAACUGUGGGCGUGCGGGCGAUACGGGCAGACUGGAGUACUGCAGGGGAGACUGGAAUUCCUGGUGUAGCGGUGGAAUGUGCAGAUAUCAGGAGGAACACCGGUGGCGAAGGCGGGUCUCUGGGCAGUAACUGACGCUGAGGAGCGAAAGCGUGGGGAGCGAACAGG